AGAGUUUGAUCAUGGCUCAGGAUGAACGCUGGCGGCGUGCCUAACACAUGCAAGUCGAGCGAUUCUCUUCGGAGAAGAGCGGCGGACGGGUGAGUAACGCGUGGGUAACCUGCCUCAUACACAUGGAUAACAUACCGAAAGGUAUGCUAAUACAGGAUAAUAUAAGAGAUUCACAUGGAUUUCUUAUCAAAGCUCCGGCGGUAUGAGAUGGACCCGCGUCUGAUUAGCUAGUUGGUAAGGUAACGGCUUACCAAGGCGACGAUCAGUAGCCGACCUGAGAGGGUGAUCGGCCACAUUGGAACUGAGACACGGUCCAAACUCCUACGGGAGGCAGCAGUGGGGAAUAUUGCACAAUGGGCGAAAGCCUGAUGCCAGCAACGCCGCGUGAGUGAUGAAGGCCUUCGGGUCGUAAAACUCUGUCCUCAAGGAAGAUAAUGACGGUACUUGAGGAGGAAGCCCCGGCUAACUACGUGCCAGCCGCAGC
Molecule: ribosomal RNA, 484 nt
Filed under: uncultured bacterium
Lineage: Bacteria
Description: bacterial SSU rRNA
Rfam family: Bacterial small subunit ribosomal RNA
Source: RNAcentral